RNAcentral lists this ribosomal RNA (253 nucleotides) under uncultured bacterium. RNAcentral's name for it is "partial 16S ribosomal RNA". It matches the Rfam family "Bacterial small subunit ribosomal RNA", at positions 524 to 776 of the family's 1533-position model. The record is from RNAcentral.
UACGAAGGUCCCUAGCGUUGUUCGGAAUUAUUGGGCGUAAAGCGCUUGUAGGUGGCUUUGCAAGUUGGGUGUGAAAGCCCCGGGCUCAACCCGGGAAGUGCACUCAAAACUGCUUAGCUUGAGUACGGUAGAGGUGAGUGGAAUACCUGGUGUAGUGGUGAAAUACGUAGAUAUCAGGUGGAACACCCGUAGCGAAGGCGGCACUCUGGGCCGUGACUGACGCUGAGGAGCGAAAGCGUGGGGAGCAAACAGG